AAUUCUCAACCCUUUCAGCUUUUUGAGUUGGCUGGGCUUGGAUUGUGGAAGUUGCUGGUUCUUGUUGAUCAGCUCUUCUCAAAUAUAUUAGCAGUCCUUUGCUGGCGAUCAUUGGUAUGAUAAUUAUCUAUAUCACUGAAAGACAGCCUCCCUAGUGGAGAGGUUCCGCUUCUAAUCGUCUUUAUAAGACAAUUUUGAUAC
Molecule: unclassified non-coding RNA, 201 nt
Filed under: uncultured Entoloma
Lineage: Eukaryota; Fungi; Basidiomycota; Agaricomycetes; Agaricales; Entolomataceae
Description: sequence contains ITS2
Source: RNAcentral